AUUGAACGCUGGCGGCAGGCCUAACACAUGCAAGUCGAGCGAGUGGCGGACGGGUGAGUAAUGUAUGGGGAUCUGCCCGAUAGAGGGGGAUAACUACUGGAAACGGUGGCUAAUACCGCAUACUAUCGGAUGUACCCAUAUGGGAUUAGCUAGUAGGUGGGGUAAAGGCUCACCUAGGCGACGAUCCCUAGCUGGUCUGAGAGGAUGACCAGCCACACGGGGACUGAGACACGGCCCAGACUCCUACGGGAGGCAGCAGUGGGGAAUAUUGCACAAUGGGCGCAAGCCUGAUGCAGCCAUGCCGCGUGUAUGAAGAAGGCCUUCGGGUUGUAAAGUACUUUCAGUAGCGAGGCGUUAACUACAGAAGAAGCACCGGCUAACUCCGUGCCAGCAGCCGCGGUAAUUC
RNAcentral lists this ribosomal RNA (406 nucleotides) under uncultured bacterium. RNAcentral describes it as "partial 16S ribosomal RNA". It matches the Rfam family "Bacterial small subunit ribosomal RNA", at positions 30 to 526 of the family's 1533-position model. The record is from RNAcentral.